Felis catus (domestic cat) is the source of this 795-nucleotide long non-coding RNA. RefSeq lists it as uncharacterized. The transcript is spliced from 3 exons. The record is from RefSeq and is a predicted model, not a curated record. NCBI's taxonomy places the organism in Eukaryota, Metazoa, Chordata, Mammalia, Carnivora, Felidae.
UGAAGGCUCUGACUUCAGCCAUCUCUUCUUAGGGCUGCACAGGACGCCUUCCUGCAUUUUGAUGAUGCUCCCACCGGCUCAGGAUAAGGCCCACAGGACGCAGCAAUACAGCCUGAAGAAACAGGCAGUGUCCUCAGAGAUCCCCAUCUGCCUCGUGGGAGGCGCAGACAUGACCUGCCAUCCUGAAGACAACAGCCUAGUGGACGUCACCCCCUGGCGACCUUUCAAAGCAGUAUCUUCCCAUUCUGCCCGGUCCUGCUCGGGAGGGGGCUGGAUCCAGAGUUGAAGGAGAGCCCAAGCCCUCUGGAGAAGCACACGCAGAAAUCACGGUGACAAGCUGUCCCUUCAGUCUGCAGGUGCAGAGUCGGGGCACCUGGGCUCAGACUCCAAUUCUGCCACCUACCACCGAUCUGAACCUCCCUGCACCUCUGUUCCCUCAUCUGUAAAACCGGGAGAAGACACCCACCCCUUCUGGCCAUGGAAGGGAUUCAAUGAGUUAACCUACAUAAAGGGCUUAAGAGGUGUAGGCGGGACCCUGGUAAGUAGUCAAUGCUGAGCGAACAUUAGCCAGAAAUGGUAAUGAUUUGUUGAGUUGAAAUGAAACCCUGCCCUCGUUCUAGAGAAUUUUCAUAUGAAGAGGGAGAUACUUUCUGUUGAUCUUCAGGAGACUUUCUUAAAUAAGGAGGCUCCCCCCCCCGCCCAUGCCUCCCCAGCUUCCAUUAAAGGAGAGUAGCCCCUCAACAGAAGCUGUCAAAAUCAUCUCCUUUCUUUCUUAGCUUCAAAGUAACCAUGAAC